This 114-nucleotide ribosomal RNA is filed under the name Triticum aestivum (bread wheat). RNAcentral describes it as "partial small subunit ribosomal RNA". Lineage: Eukaryota; Viridiplantae; Streptophyta; Magnoliopsida; Poales; Poaceae. The record is from RNAcentral.
AUGCUUCACCUCUUACCAUGUUUAACAACAUUUAAUAUUGCUUGGCCUUAUUCUCGGUGUUUUCUUCCACUCUUGCUGCCUUUGUUUCUGUCAUACCGGUGUUAUGUUCCUUGA